Oncorhynchus keta (chum salmon) is the source of this 1281-nucleotide long non-coding RNA. RefSeq lists it as uncharacterized. The transcript is spliced from 5 exons. The record is from RefSeq and is a predicted model, not a curated record. Lineage: Eukaryota; Metazoa; Chordata; Actinopteri; Salmoniformes; Salmonidae.
UUGAUCACCGGUAUUUAUCCUUUGUCAGACGAAUCGACGGUGUGAAAACCGAUAAUACUGUUUGUGUUUUGCCUUGCUAAGUGGAUGAGCUAAUUUCUCACAACUCACCCCCAUUAGGCUACUAAUUCACGCCAAUCCUUUCAUCAUGCGACUGUGAUGGAGACACAGGGACUCAGGAGCUUCAAGACUGUCAGGGAUAAAGUGAACGAACUCUUCAAACGCCAACAGUAAAAUUAGCUUUAUGCUGCAAAAUAGCCUACUUAGAAUUGGCUAAGCCUAAACAAAUAAACUAUUCUUGUGGAAUUUGUUAGAUAUUAGGAUGUGUUGUGGAAUUUGUUAGAUAUUAGGUUGUGUUGUGGAAUUUGUUAGAUAUUAGGUUGUGUUGUGGAAUUGUUUUGAUAUUAGGUUGUGUUGUGGAAUUUGUUAGAUAUUAGGAUGUGUUGUGGAAUUUGUUAGAUAUUAGGUUGUGUUGUGGAAUUUGUUAGAUAUUAGGUUGUGUUGUGGAAUUUGUUAGAUAUUAGGUUGUGUUGUGGAAUUUGUUAGAUAUUAGGUUGUGUUGUGGAAUUGUUUUGAUAUUAGGUUGUGUUGUGGAAUUUGUUAGAUAUUAGGUUGUGUUGUGGAAUUUGUUAGAUAUUAGGUUGUGUUGUGGAAUUUGUUAGAUAUUAGGUUGUGUUGUGGAAUUGUUUUGAUAUUAGGUUUUGUUGUGGAAUUGUUUUGAUAUCACCUGUUAGAUACUGCUGCCCUGUUAAUGAUUGUUAAUAGGUCUAAAAAAGUUGGUUGAAAACACACUUCCACUUACGAGCUUCGGUGGCUCUGGAAUGAAUCAGGUCUCUGCACACUUAGGGAUAUGGCUGGGUGAGAAACCGUCUUUUAAAAUGCAUAUUGACCAACUUCGGUGGCUCUGGAAUGAAUCAGGUCUCUGCACACUUAGGGAUAUGGCUCUGGAAUGAAUCAGGUCUCUGCACACUUAGGGAUAUGGCUCUGGAAUGAAUCAGGUCUCUGCACACUUAGGGAUAUGGCUCUGGAAUGAAUCAGGUCUCUGCACACUUAGGGAUAUGGCUCUGGAAUGAAUCAGGUCUCUGCACACUUAGGGAUAUGGCUCUGGAAUGAAUCAGGUCUCUGCACACUUAGGGAUAUGGCUCUGGAAUGAAUCAGGUCUCUGCACACUUAGGGAUAUGGCUCUGGAAUGAAUCAGGUCUCUGCACACUUAGGGAUAUGGCUCUGGAAUGAAUCAGGUCUCUGCACACUUAGGGAUAUGGCUCUGGAAUGAAUCAGGUCUCU